AUUGAUGAGAGAGAGAGAGAGAGCUACAUCUACGUAUCGAUUUUGAGUCUACGAUUGAAUCUUGCAACAAAGAAGUUGAGAUUCAGCACGUACUGAUUAAAUUAAAGAAGAGUUACAUCAUCUGAUCCAAUCGUGGAAACACUCCACACAACUAAAAGUCAGUUCUCUAACUAUUGUGUUCAACAUAAAUUAUUGCUAGGAGUUUAGAUCUAUAUUUAUGCCUUUUGUUCCUGAUGCAUAUUAUUAGAUGGUGACUCGAAUUCCUGACAAUAUAUGGGUUCUCUACUAUAUGUUUGAAGAAUUUUGAGAAAAAAUCUAUACAUACGAUUGUUUCCAAUUGUGAAAACAUACAUAAUUCUCCAACUAUAAUCAUGUUUAGAUAGAAAAAAAGAUUGAAAAAGAACAUGUAUACUAGUUGAAGUUGAACAUUUUACUGUUGUUGUAUGUUUGCUUUCUAUGUAUGCCCAAUAUGUUGACCGUCUUUGAUUUGAGCAUUUACUAAUACAUAAAAAUAAAAGUAGGCAGCAACAUUUUGUAAUAUCGACCUACUAAUUGAUUUUGUUAAGUUUGAUUAAUUCAGUAGUUUCAAUUAACCUUUCAUGUGUGUACCCACCUAGAAUAGGUUUAUCAUUUAAAACAAAUAUACUUUGUUCUUACUCGCAACAAGUUAGGUAGCAAUAAUUGUAAUUUAAAACGGCCUACAUAAUUGACAAUUAAGCCACUUAUUAUAUUGUUAUGUUUGUCAAUGGCAUCUGGAAAUUAUGACACUUUCAACCAUCAGAUUCAUUUAUUAGAUGUUUGUUUUCAUGAUCUGAUUUAAAGAACCCUAUGCUAUUUAUUCUUAGUGCUUCAAGUUAUAUAAAUUAAUAUGAUGGGUGGGUAUAAUAUAUUAUGGGAGAGUAUUUGAAUAGUCAUCUACAAAUUUACUGUUGUAAGCAUUUUCUCUAUUACUUUAGUUUUGUGCCUUUGUGAAACCAUGGAUGGAGGUGUUGCUGCCAUCGAAGUUCUUGUCCAAAACUUGAUCAGCGUUUUGAAGGAAGAGUACUCUCUACUUCGAGGUCUCGAUGGAGAUGCCCAACAGCUGCAAAGGACUUUGAUGUUGAUAAUGUCUUGGAUGAACUCAGCUAUCAAAUUCUCGAAAAACAAGUGAAGAAAUUGAAGACCAUCAAUCUCAGUCCCAAGGCCAAGGAUAGGGUACUAUCAUGCUUCUUCUCACCGUGCAAAAUAAUAUCGCGUCGGCAUAAUAUGGCUCCCGCAAUAAAAAAAAUUAAUGCGGAGUUUGAGUCUAUGAACAAAAGGGAAAUUGAUCUUGGCCUUUAAAGCAAACUUCUGAAUGCACCUGUUGCUUCUGAAACUUCCAUUGAGACUGAUUCGUUCAUUCUUGACCCAAUCUUUAUUGGAAGAGAUGAUGAUGUGCCAAAACUAGUUGGCAUGCUGACACAUAUCCCCGAAGAUCGGACCUUCUCCAUCAUUGCUCUUGUCGGAAUGGGGGGUAUGGGGAAGACUACAUUGAGUAAGAUUGUCUUCAAUUAUAAAAGCAUAAAGGCUCGAUUCAGAUCACUUAUUUGGGUUCAUGUUUCUCAAACUUUUGACUCAAGAAGAUCUCAAGGAUAAAACUUAUCUUCUCGUACUUGAUGAUGUGUGGAAUGAAAAUGUUGGGCAAUGGGAAUGCUUUAUAAACUCCAUGUCAGGAGUUACUUCUACAAAAGGAAAUGGAAUUAUCAUCACUACUAGGAUUGACAAUGUUGCUUCAAUUGUUAACUCAUUUCAUAUUCACUCUUUAAAAGGCUUAUCAGAUGAACAGUGCUGGUCCAUCAUUAAAGUAAAAAUUUUUGAUGAAAAUGCAGAAGUUCCAUCAGGAUUUGAGACGAUUGGGAAAGAGAUUGCAAAGAGAUGUCAGGGUUUGCCCUUGGCUGCCAACCUGGUUGGGGGUGUGCUUCGUCGCUUUAAAUCCGUACAAGAUUGGCGAUCCAUCAAAGAAAAUUGGCUUUCAGAUGGUGAAGGAGGUGAAAAUAUUUUAACAAUAUUAAAAUUGAGCUUUGAUCACCUGUCUUCGGCCGCACUCAAGAAGUGCUUCGCUUAUUGUUUGAUUUUCCCCAAAGGUCAGGAAAUUAUGAAAGAUGAGCGGAUUGAACUUUGGAUGGCAGAAGGAUUUCUUCAACCUACCUACCCAAAGAGAUGAUAUGGAGUCUGUGGGAACAUGUUUUUCAAUGUUCUUGCACAAAACUCUAUGUUGCAAGUUGAUGAGAAAUAUUAUUAUUAUAAAGAUAAAUAUUGUGUGAUGCACGAUCUUGUGCAUGAUCUUGCAUCUUCUGUUUUAUCUAAUAAAACAGAUGGAAACACCCUAUUUCGAUACAUGUUUCACGAAAACGAAUCAAGUGAUAUUCCAGAAGAAGUGACGAGAAAUUUGCGUACAUUGCUCUUGGGAGGUGGAACUUCUCGUACCAUAUUCUCUAGCUUCAAAAGUCUGCAUAAUCUAACUCUGUAUGGUUACAGUAAUGAAGAGUUGCCCAGUUCAAUUAGGGAGUUGAUACAUUUGUGAAAUCUCAAUAUUUCCUAUACUGAUAUUAUAAACAUUCUAGAGUGGAUUGGAGAACUCCAUCACUUGCAAACAUUAAGAUAGGUAAUAUGGAAACUGAAGAAACUGCUAAAUAUGUUGAAGUACCUAAUUAAUUUAAGGCUUCUUUAUCUAUCGUAUGAAACAAAGUUGCCGAGAUUGAGAGAUUAACUAGUCUCCAAACACUCUGGUACUUUGCAGUGGGCGAAGAGAAGGGCUAUCAAAUUGAAGAGCUUGGAAGUUUGAAUUAUCUCAAAGGAGGACUAGAGAUUGGGAAUGUUGAAAGAGUGCGUGACAAGGAAGAGUCUAUGAAAGCUAAUACAUUGGCGAAGUCAAACUUGUCAGAAUUGGCACUUAGUUGGGAUGCCGAGGAUAGUGUCGGUGAAAGAAAUGAUGAAAGUAUAUUGGAAGGCCUCCAACCUCAUGUAAAUUUGAAAGUGUUGAAGAUAAGAUUUCCAACAUGGAUGGAAAAGAUGGCAGUAUGGGAUGCGCGUCAAGGCUCUUGGGUACCACUUGACAACUUGAUAGAGUUAACACUUGGGAAUUGCUCAGAAUGUGAGGAAAUCCCAACGCUUGAGCACCUGCCUAAUCUGAAAUUACUUUAUUUGUUUAGAUUGAAGAAGGCCAGGUUCCUAAAUUCUUCGUUCAAAAAUUUAAGGACUCUCGUAAUAUCUAGAUUAGAAAUGAAAUGUCUGCCGAAGCAGUUAUUCUAUAACAAUCAGAAUAUCUCAACAUUUUGGAUUCAUAUGUACCUUGGGUUGAGAGAGAAUUACCAGAUGGCCUACACACCCUCCAUUCUCUGGAGGAGUUGACUAUAAAUGACUGUGAAAAUCUAAAGACAGUUGGCAAUCAAAGUGACGGAGUAAGAAAAUAUGAAAGAAUCCUCCGUGAGCUGCAAAUUGUAGGGUGCAGAGAGCUGGUGGAAUUUCCACUUCAAAUUUUGGAGUCGUCCAUACCCACGAUCGAGACACUCAUAUUGAAAGGAUUAUGGAAACUAAAGAAUCUACCAAUGCUAAUUGACUGCCUCGCUAAAUCAUCUCCUCGUCUUGAAGAAUUAGCAAUCACGGGUGUUCCGAAUUUCAUGGCUAGUGGUAGAGUUGAGAGUUGGGAUUUAGGCAAGUUGAGGAAACUAGAGAUAGAUGUGAGUGUUGAGUGGUCAAUGGAGAGUAGUGAUGCCAUCAGAGAGACUGUGCAUGGUAUGUUGCAAGGAUGUUGCAAUUCACUAACUGAGUUAUACUUGAAGGGGAUUGAAAAUUGGGAGUGGGUGCCUCAAUCAAUUCAACAUCUCACUGCACUUCAUUGGUUGAAGUUAGAAAAUAUAGGGGGAGAAGAAUUGCCACAGUGGCUGGGGAACCUCUCAUCUCUAAGGGAAUUAUGCCUACAUGGUUGGAACAGAUUGCGGUGCCUUCCCUCUGUGGUGGCGCGUCUCACUAAAUUAAUAAGGUUAGAAAUUGGAGAUUGCCCGAACUACACAUUGAUUCGGAGUGGCGCAACCAUCCCAAUCUGAAAAUCAAUGUUUAUGGCACAAGUAGAGUGCAGAGGUGAAAAUGAUGUCCGGAUGAAGUUGGAACCGAAAACCAAAGUCAAGAGACGCUCCACGCGGACAGCGGGAUUCAUCAAAACAUUCCACACGGACUGCGGGAGUCAUCUUCGAUGUCGGUAUAUUUACAUACCUCUAUUUUACUUGGAAAUUGGAUGAAAGCAUAGAAGAGGAAAUUGCACGUUUUAUCUUGUUCAUAGAGAAAUUCAUAUAUAUGUUGACUUAGUGUUGGAAAGAAAUCACGGAAUUAAGGUGAUUGAUUCCAAAUUGAUUGUAUACCAUAAUUAGAAUAUGAUCUCCUAUGAUUUAGUUUCCAUAUGUAAAAUAUCUCAUGGCUAUAAAG
Long non-coding RNA from Salvia hispanica, 4440 nucleotides. RefSeq lists it as uncharacterized. NCBI's taxonomy places the organism in Eukaryota, Viridiplantae, Streptophyta, Magnoliopsida, Lamiales, Lamiaceae. The record is from RefSeq and is a predicted model, not a curated record.